This 1948-nucleotide ribosomal RNA is filed under the name human gut metagenome. Its description in RNAcentral is "bacterial LSU rRNA". It matches the Rfam family "Bacterial large subunit ribosomal RNA", at positions 14 to 2039 of the family's 2925-position model. The record is from RNAcentral.
AGGGCGUACGGUGAAUGCCUUGGUGCCAACAGGCGAAGAAGGACGCGGCAAGCUGCGAAAAGCCUCGGGAAGCUGCAAGCAAGCGAUGAUCCGGGGAUAUCCGAAUGGGGUAACCUGAUCGAGGCAAUACUCGAUCGUUCAUACCUGAAUACAUAGGGUAUGAAACGCGAAACCCGCUGAAGUGAAACAUCUCAGUAAGCGGAGGAAAAGAAAGAGAAAUCGAUUCCGUAAGUAGUGGCGAGCGAAAGCGGAUGGAGCCCAAACCGAAGGUAUUCCUUCGGGGUUGUAGGACCACGUCAUAUUCGACCAUACUGGAUAGUAGAACAGCCUGGAAAGGCUGGCCGGAGAAGGUGAAAGCCCUGUAGACGAAAUCCAGAGUGGGAAUUAGUGGUAUCCUGAGUAAUACAUCACACGUGGAACGAUGUAUGAACCCGCGCGGACCACCGCGCAAGGCUAAAUACUAGUUGGCGACCGAUAGUGAACAAGUACCGCGAGGGAAAGGUGAAAAGAACCGCUGUGAGCGGAGUGAAAUAGAACCUGAAACCGUAUGUCUACAAAGUGUCAGAGCAGAGCAAUCUGCGAUGGCGUGCCUUUUGUUUAAUGAGUCUGCGAGUCAGUGUUUGUGGCAAGACUAAGGGCUUCCGGCCCGGAGUCGCAGCGAAAGCAAGUCCGAACAGGGCGCAAUAAGUCGCAGGUACUGGACCCGAAGCGGAGGUGACCUACCCUUGGCCAGGUUGAAGCAUGGGUAAAACCAUGUGGAGGACCGAACAGGUGAACGUUGAAAAGUUCUCUGAUGAGCUGAGGGUAGGAGUGAAAGGCUAAUCAAACCCCGUGAUAGCUGGUUCUCUUCGAAAUGCAUUUAGGUGCAGCGUCACGUGCUGAUGCGCGGGGGUAGAGCACUGACAAGGCUAGGGGGCACACCCGCUUACCAAACCUUAUCAAACUCCGAAUACCGUGCAAUGGAACGUGGCAGUGAGACAGUGGGGGAUAAGCUUCAUUGUCGAGAGGGAAACAACCCAGACCAGCAGCUAAGGUGCCUAAAUAACGCUCAGUGGAAAGGAUGUGGGAUUACACAGACAGUGAGGAUGUUGGCUUAGAAGCAGCCACCAUUUAAAAAAUGCGUAAUAGCUUACUCAUCGAGUGAUCCUGCGCCGAAAAUGAUUGGCGAUCAAGCGUUAUACCGAAGCUCUGGACUUUGCCGCAAGGCAGAGUGGUAGAAGAGCGUUGCAUGCGCGUCGAAGGGCGAUGGCGACUGACCCUGGAGCACAUGCAAGUGAGUAUGCAGACAUGAGUAACGUUAAGCCGGGUGAAAUCCCCGGCCGCCGUAAACCCGAGGUUUCCAGGGCAACGUGUUUCGUCCCUGGGUUAGCCGGGACCUAAGCCGAGGCCGAGAGGCGUAGGCGAUGGACAUCAGGUUAAUAAUCCUGAGCUCGCAACCCUUAAACUGGGGGGACGCAUGAGAAAAGAUGACUAGGUUAUUGAAUUCCGAGUUGAGUCCACGGACUCAGCGCAUCAUUGGAUCGAGUGCCAAGAAAAGCCCCAGCGUAUGCUAAGCGACCCGUACCGCAAACCGACACAGGUGGGUGGGUAGAAUAUACCAAGGCGUAAGAGUGAAACCUGGUUAAGGAACUCGGCAAAUUAGCCCCGUAACUUCGGAAGAAGGGGUGCCUGCAGCGAUGCAGGCCGCAGAGAAAUGGCCCAACCGACUGUUUAUCAAAAACACAGCACUCUGCAAAGACGCAAGUCGAAGUAUAGGGUGUGACACGUGACCAAUGCCGAAAGAUUAAGGCAAGGGGUUAGCCGCAAGGCGAAGCUCUAAACCCAAGUCCCGGUGAAUGUCGGCCGUAACUAUAACGGUCCUAAGGUAGCGAAAUUCCUUGUCGGGUAAGUUCCGACCUGCACGAAUCGUGAAACGAGUUGGGCACUGUCUCAACCAGGCGCUCAGUGA